UAUUCUAUUUUGCUUAUACUUAUACUAUUGCCAUUUGAGCCCUGUGAUUGCAAUAACAUCCCACAUACAGCGGCUUUGUCCCAGGGUCCAGACCCUCUGUGGUGCACACAGUUGUUUGUAGGUUAAGAAGAGUAUGUAUAAAGAGGUAGUGAGGCCUUAAGAGAUAUGGCUAAGGAGAAGGGAGCCUUGUGGUCAUUCUAGAAAAAGAUCCUCCAUUUACUUAUCUGUCAGUCCUAGCUUGAAUGGGGGUCGAGAGACAGGGAUCUUUUGCUCUUAUUCCUUGAUAAGACUACCAAUGAAAUCCACAUGAGCUUUAUCCCUCAUAUCUUUUGGUCCAUCUUCAACAUACACAACUCUUCUCCAUCUUGACAUAUUUCUCUCUUGAUCCUAAACCCUAGUUACAAUCUCAUUUCCUUAUUGCCUUUCCCUGUAGAAUACCUUACUUACAUGGGUUGUCCCAGGUGAUCUGGUUCUCCUCCACUGGUUCCCUCUCUGGGCCCAGGAAUCUGGAUUCCAUCCCCACCAAGGUCACCAAUCUUGAUCUGUAAAAGAUCAUCUCACACUUUCUCCUUCCUUGACUUCCCAUCACCAAAAAUGUUAAACUUCCUUAGGACAGUUUAUUUUUUCUUGGCCUGUAGGACAUUUGGUGUUACGAUAAGUUUGGGGUUUUCAAAGAGCCCUGUAAAAACUAAUUAUUUCCUUCUAGGAAUCAAGUUUGCAAUUAGAUGAAGAGCUACCGAAGACCCACUCUAACUAUAUGAGUAAACUGGCUAGGAUUUGCCCAGUUACAAAUAGCUUCUUUUGACAGCACUUAGUCACUAUGUUUUUUCCACUUAUAUUACUCUACCUACAUUAAAGUGCAUAAUUCUAAAAAACAUGUGAGUACUCUUUUCCACUGAAUUUUAACUUUGUCAUUCACAACUUAGUAAAGUCUUUAUUGUAAGGUGACCCAAUGUCCCAGUUUACACAAGACUGAGGAGUUUCCCAGGAUGGGAAACAUUCUGUGCUUAAAAGCAGGGCAAUCCUAGGAAACUAGUACAGUCAGUUCACCUACUUGGUCUUUAAAAAGAGCCCUUUAUCUUGCUCUUCUUUCAUCAUUCAGGAGUUCAGAAAGCACAGUUUCCCAAAAGUGCGACAUUUUACUUGGUUCAGCUUUAGACUCAAUAUAGUUCCCGAUUUUAUUUACUUAGCUGCUCUCAACUUAGAAGAAAAGGCAUGUGGCUGGAUGUUCUAACUAACAAUGGAGUAUGGAAACUACAUGUCUAGUCUUGAAAGGAUAUUUGGCAAUCCCUUAACCCUGCAAUGCAAAGAGACUCAGGGCUGGGUUAUACCACAUGAGAAAAUGAAUUUGAACUCUCCUUGAAGUCUGGAAGUGUUGAGUGUGUGUACUGCUUGAUCACAAAGGGGAGGACUUUCCACAUUUUUCUCUUGUAAUUUUAGAUCCAGCCAAUGUUUUACUUUAAAUAAACGGCAACAAUGCUCCCUUCUCUCCAACAAAAUGUAACUAAGAGAAAAUCUCCCCCUUUUUGGCUCAGCUUUACAAAAGUAGAGGAAAUCAAGGGGAAAACAGAGAAAAAGCAGGGAUAUCUCUCUAAAAUGUUUUAGACUUAUUUCAAAGAAGAAGAUUAGAAAUAAACAUUAAAAAUUGACAUCAACAAACUGGCUGUGGUGGUACAUACCUGUAAUCCCAGGUACUUGGGAGACUGAGGCAGGUGAAUCACCAGUUCAAGCCUGGACAAUUUAGUGAGACAGUAUGUCAAAAGAAAAAAAGAAGAAAGAAAAAGGGGUUGGAGUUGUAGCACAGGAUAGAGCACUUACCUAGCAGGUAUGAAUCCCUACAUUUGAUCCCCAGUGCAAAAACAAAAACAAAUGAACAAACAAACAAAAAAUUGACAUCAAAUAUGCCCAUGAAUACUGUGGCACUAUUUGUAAUACUUAAGAUGUGAAAUCAACUUAGGUGCCCAUUAACAAGGGAAUGGAUAAAUAAAAUGUGGAAUAUAUAAAUAAUGGAAGAUUAUUCAGACAUAAUUAAUGAAAUCUUAUCAUUUAUAGUAAAAAUGAGUCAAACCAGAAGACAUUGUGUUAAUGAAAUACACCAUACACAGAAAAACAAAUACUGCAUGUUAUCUCUCAUAUGCAGAAUAAAAAAUUUUUUAAAAAAGUUGAUGUGGAUAUAGAAGAGUGAUUACUAGAGAUUGGGAAGGAAGAAAUGUGGGGAAGAGAGUGGAUUAAGGGAGGCUGGAUCUGAUCAGUGUAUACUGUAUGCAUGUGUUAAACUAUCACACUGAACUCCAUUAAUAGGUACAAUUAAUACAUGGCAAUCAAAAAUAAUAAAAUAUUUUAAAAAUCAACAUUGAACAAUUUAGCCAAAGAGGGUCUUAUGAGUUGUGUCAUCUGAACUUCUGCUAUUGGGCUCUGAGAAUAAUUCACCUCUCAAUAACUGAGAUGUAUUAAAUGGUGUUCUGUGUACCCAAACACUGUGCUGGGUGCUAUCCAUGUAGUAUUUCAUUUAAUCUUUACAAUCUCUCUGAACAGUGGAUUCCAUUAUUAUCCUCAUUUUAGAAAUAGAAAAAAAAAAUGAAGGUGAACUAGUGAAUAGCAGAAUCCAAAACUCAAAACAAGCAGAGUGCAAAAUUCAUGCAUUUGGUCCCCAUGCUAUUUGAUGAGGGGUUAGAAAUGUGGAGGGGACAUGUUCUAAGCUCACUGGAAGCAGACUGAGUAUUUUAAGCCUAAAGCACUGGUACCAGAUGGAAAGCAGGACUGACACCCAUUCUUCAGGAGAAAUUAAAUUUUGCUCAAAAUCAAAGAAUGUCAUAUUGAGCAAUCAAAAGCUCUAAACACACAGUAUUCCCGAAGUACAAGAUCAGAAUUUAACAUCUAUUAUUAAAUGUUACUGCAGGGAGCCAACAGAAUUUCUAUGCCAGUUAUUGUUUGAUCUGUUUUAGGCAAAUGGGUAUAAUACCAGUGUCUACAAAAUCCAUACUUCAAUUAGAAGGCAUUUCACACUAUUUUGAUAAGGGCAUUAAAAAAAAAAAAAAAAAAAAGACUACUUUAUCAAGGUGAAAAUAAGGACAAAGAAUCUGACAUUUUUUGUUUUGAUUUUUUAAAAGUUAUUUAAGCAUGCCCCACCUUCUUCCCAAAAUUAAGUAAAUCUGCCUUUGAAGCAUCAUCUGAUUUGAUUCGAAUACAAGCCAGUUCCUAGCAGCAAUGGUUAAGAGCCUGAGAGUAGUCACGUAAAUACAGAGUGUUAAAAAAAAAAAAAUGUGUUCAAGUCUCCUCCAGACAGCAAAAGCAAAAUUGUACCAAUAUGUCUGUUGUUGUUUUUUUUUUUUUUUUCCCUUUCCCUUGUUCUACUGAAAACAAAUUUAUCUUGGAAUGUGUAGCAUUAAAUUUAACGUGGGAUCUCUUUGUGUUUCCAGGUCAAGUGGGAACACAUAGGCUCCCUACUGAGGAAAAUAAACUACAAUGUAUUUUUAGCACCCAUUGAAAGUACUUUCAGCUGAAGAUAUUCUGCAGGAGCCAGUUUAUUUCACUGAAGGCCAAAGGAUUUGCCACAAUGUCACCUACAAUUCCAGAACUUUCUCCUAGGCUGUGUAAAUAUGCUCCCACCCCACCCAUUCUACUGCACACCAUUCUCAGUCCAAAUCCUGGAGCAAAUAUUCUCGUUCUGAGGAAAAAAAAGAAAAGAAAGAAAGAAAACCAAUCCAGUGAAAGAUAAAUGGAAAACAUCUGUGAAAUAGUUACGACAAAUGGAACUAACUAUCUCAUACUUGGCACUUUGAAAUGAAGCACAUCCAGACAAGGGAAUAGAGUGAAUGUGUGGCAGAGGGGGUGCCCUCCACUUUGUGCCCAGUGAUGAUGAUAAGCCACAGACAGACCUCCCCCCCACCAAGGUCAGGCUGCUUGAAAGGUACCUCUAUGGUGUAUGGUGCUAUUAUGGUUUGGAUGUAAGGUGUGUCUCCCCCUCCCCCCAGCUCAUGUGUGAGCUAAUGCAAGAAGGUUUGGAGAAGAGAUGAUUGGGUUAUGAGAAGCUUAACUCAAUCAGCCAACUGAUUUUUUGAUGGGAUUAACUGGUGGUGCCUGAAGGUGGGUAGGGCGUGGCUAGAGGAGGUGGGUCCCUGGAGGUGUGGCUUUGUGGUAUAUAUUUUGUAUCUAGCAAUGGAGUCUCUGCUCUCUGAUCAUCAUGUGAGCUGCUUCCCUCCGCCACUCUCUUCCACCAUAAUGUUCUGCCUCACUUGGAGCCCCAGUGAAUGGAGCAGGCUGGUCAUGGACUGAGACCUCUGAAACUGUGAGCCCCCAAAUAAACUUUUCUUCCUCUAAAAUUGUUCUUGUCAGGUCUUUUCAUCACAGCAGUGAAAAAGCUGACAAAAACAUGUACAAAGCCACUAAAGGCAGCACAUUCCACAGAUACCGCCAUGUUCAAGGGCAUGCAGCGAAAGAAGCUCGGGUGGUUUUCACUUGCACCCAUUCUCUCCAAAGGUUGUGUGUGUGUGCAUGAGCUCUGUAGACCUCGUAGUGGAGUUUUAGUGACUAAUCUGAAACUUGGUGACAGUGAGACAAACAGCUGAGGACUUUACUUUUGUCGGCACAGUUUUUUAAAAAUAUUUCUCAUUUUUAAAAGGAGAUAUACUUGACUCUUAGCUUUUAAAUAAAUGACACAGGCAUACGGGGCUCUCCUUUUUGAACACUCAUUCCCCCACAAUUUUAAAGUCUAUAAUGGCAAAAUAUAACACAUAUCAUAAAGCAUAGCACCAAAAAUGUAAAGUCUUCCCAAAGAACCGAUUAUUAUUGUUUUCCUGAAACUGUGCCAGUCAGCUUUCUGUUACUGUAACAAAUACCUGGGAUAAACAACUUAUAAAAAGAAAAGAUUUAUUUUGGCUCAAGCUUUGAAGAUUUAGUCCAUGACCAAUUAGCCCUGUUGUUUUGGGCCUGUGGCAACCCAUCAUAGUAGGAGCACAUGACAGAGCAAUCUGUUUACCUCUUACCCAAGAAAUGAAAGAGAAAAAGAAGAAGGAGUUGGAAUCCCAAUACACCCUUCAAGGGCAUGUUCUGAUGACUAACCCUCUCACUAGGCUUUACCUCUUAAAAGUUCCACCACCUCCCAAUAGCACCAAGCUAAUGACGACGCUUUUAACACAGAGGCCUAUGGUGGAAAUUCCACAUCUAGACUAUAGUGAAAGCCAUGUAUUUGUUCAAGAAUAUGAAGCCAAAUUUACCAUUAAUGGUCUUCCUAACACUACUCUUGUAGCAAAAAAAGCCUUUCUAUAUAUUCUUCUGUAAAACAGAACCAAAUACCCUAUUUCCCUAUCUACUCUCAGCUCCAUCCUAUGAAUUGGUGAAGUUCCUUGAAAUAAUGCCAUGUAAACAUGAGGGAUUAUGGGUUGUCACAAUGUCAUAUCAUGGUUGGUCAUAGCUUUAUUAUUAAUCCAACAAAUAUUUUUGUCAGAUCCUGUUUAAGAUGUCUGAAUACAAGAUAACUUGAGAAGACUUCAUUGUUCUCUUCACUGACUUAUUUAUCUGCUAUUGAUUAAGAUAGUCUUCAAAAGCUAUGGUCUGCUAGUAAGUUAAAAAGAAACUAUUUAGAAAUUCUCAAAGCAGAUCUGAUGGAGGUCUAGAUAAAGCAGACAACAGGCACCUCAGUUUGAUUCCUUUGUUCCCUAACUACGUUGGUUGUUCAGGUAUUAAAGAACAAUUUGAGGAAGCCCUUCCCUUCCUUUAGGGGAAUAUUGUUCCAUGGUCUUAAAUACAGUCAUAUUAACAUUUAAUUUAUAUUUGCAAAAUCACAUUUGGAAUAUUAAGUUUAUGUAUUAAGGAUUUGUGUUUUGU
Molecule: long non-coding RNA, 5826 nt
Filed under: Marmota monax (woodchuck)
Lineage: Eukaryota; Metazoa; Chordata; Mammalia; Rodentia; Sciuridae
Source: RNAcentral